GACGAACGCUGGCGGCGUGCUUAACACAUGCAAGUCGAACGAUGAAGCCCAGCUUGCUGGGUGUAAGAGUGGCGAACGGGUGAGUAACACGUGAGUACCCUGCCCUGAACUCUGGGAUAAGCACUGGAAACGGUGACUAAUACUGGAUACGACCUAUCACCGCAUGGUGUGUGGGUGGAAAGAUUUAUCGGUUCUGGAUGGGCUCGCGGCCUAUCAGCUAGAUGGUGGGGUAAUGGCUCACCAUGGCGACGACGGGUAGCCGGCCUGAGAGGGGGACCGGCCACACUGGGACUGAGACACGGCCCAGACUCGUACGGGAGGCAGCAGUGGGGAAUAUUGCACAAUGGGCGCAAGCCUGAUGCAGCAACGCCGCGUUAGGGAUGACGGCCUUCGGGUUGUAAACCUCUUUUAGUAGGGAAGAAGCGAAAGUGACGGUACCUGCAGAAAAAGCACCGGCUAACUACGUG
Molecule: ribosomal RNA, 467 nt
Filed under: uncultured bacterium
Lineage: Bacteria
Description: partial 16S ribosomal RNA
Rfam family: Bacterial small subunit ribosomal RNA
Source: RNAcentral